This 93-nucleotide ribosomal RNA is filed under the name Parasarocladium debruynii. RNAcentral's name for it is "partial 28S large subunit ribosomal RNA". It matches the Rfam family "Eukaryotic large subunit ribosomal RNA", at positions 1 to 92 of the family's 3401-position model. Lineage: Eukaryota; Fungi; Ascomycota; Sordariomycetes; Hypocreales; Sarocladiaceae. The record is from RNAcentral.
UUGACCUCGGAUCAGGUAGGGAUACCCGCUGAACUUAAGCAUAUCAAUAAGCGGAGGAAAAGAAACCAACAGGGAUUGCCUCAGUAACGGCGA